AAAAAUGGCCCCUGCCAUUGCAAUCUGGGAGAGUUUGUCUGCUGUGUUUGUCUCUUUGUACUGGAACAAGUUUCUGAAGUGGAAGCAUCUGAAUACCGACUGUAUCAAAUAGUUUCAACAUCUUAAAGACUCAUUCAGAAUUUUAACAUGAACACCAAUCCAUUUAUCAAGGAUUCCCAUCACCAGUUAAAUACUGGACAAAAGAGCACCAGACAAGAAAUCAGUCCACUCCGUAUAUGAUAGCAGCAGUGAAUAAAACGUCUAUUUGCAUGCCUUCAAAAACGCUUUGUACAA
Non-coding RNA from Chiloscyllium plagiosum (whitespotted bambooshark), 294 nucleotides. NCBI's taxonomy places the organism in Eukaryota, Metazoa, Chordata, Chondrichthyes, Orectolobiformes, Hemiscylliidae. The record is from RefSeq and is a predicted model, not a curated record.